Molecule: ribosomal RNA, 308 nt
Filed under: uncultured archaeon
Lineage: Archaea
Description: bacterial SSU rRNA
Rfam family: Archaeal small subunit ribosomal RNA
Source: RNAcentral
CGGCUUUGCAAGUCUUCGGUUAAAUCCACCUGCUCAACAGAUGGGCCGCUGGAGAUACUACAAAGCUAGGGAGUGGGAGAGGCAGACGGUACUCAGUGGGUAGGGGUAAAAUCCUCUGAUCCAUUGAGGACCACCAGUGGCGAAGGCGGUCUGCCAGAACACGUUCGACGGUGAGGGAUGAAAGCUGGGGGAGCAAACCGGAUUAGAUACCCGGGUAGUCCCAGCUGUAAACGAUGCAAACUCGGUGAUGCAUUGGCUUAUGGCCAAUGCAGUGCCGCAGGGAAGCCGUUAAGUUUGCCGCCUGGGAA